AUGGCUUCUCAGCGGCAGGGUGUAGGGGCCUCUGUGCGCCGGAGAUCUCUCCAGUACCAGGAGCAGCUCAAGAACAGCAAGGAGCUGCAGCCUGUGGCCAGCCAUCCAGGAGACCCCUGCCGCAGCCCUGGGUUCCCUGUGCAGACAGUUCCAAAGGAGGCUGCCCCUGACAGCCAUCAACCUCAAUCUCUGGGGAGACCCCUCCUGCAAACACUUGGAAACCCCAGAGCCAGGGCAGCAGAGCCUCCAAGCUGCAGCUCGCUCAGCUAAGAGUACCUCAGGUGCCAAGUCCCAGAGAAUCCAGGAGUCCUGACACCAAGUGGCUGGUGGAGACUCAGGUGAAGGCCAGGAGGAGAAAGAGAGGGGCACAGAAGAGCAGUGGAUCCCUGACUCACAGCCUGAGCCAGAAGAGCACCCAGCUGUCUGGAGGCGCCCCUGUCCACUCAGCCGCAGACCCCUGGGAGAAGGAGCAUCACUGCCUCUCUGCCCGGAUGGGUUCACGUACCCACCCACUACGGCGGUUGAGGCGGGAGUCUGCCUUGUAGAGCCCCUUACCCCUUGACAGAGCCCCUCUGCUCUCCCAGUGAGUCUGACAGUGACCUAGAGCCUGUGGAGGCAGAAAUUCAGCAUCUCCAGAAGCUGUCCCAAGAGCUGGAUGAAGCCAUUAUGGCAGAAGAGUGCAGGAAACAAGCCCUGUCUGAUCACCAAAACUUCACACCCAGUAUGUCUGUGCUUCCCCAUGA
Molecule: long non-coding RNA, 743 nt
Filed under: Homo sapiens (human)
Lineage: Eukaryota; Metazoa; Chordata; Mammalia; Primates; Hominidae
Description: non-protein coding lnc-CCKAR-7:1
Source: RNAcentral